AUUGAACGCUGGCGGCAUGCCUUACACAUGCAAGUCGAACGGUAACGCGGGGCAACCUGGCGACGAGUGGCGAACGGGUGAGUAAUAUAUCGGAACGUGCCCAAUAGUGGGGGAUAGCCCGGCGAAAGCCGGAUUAAUACCGCAUACGACCUGAGGGUGAAAGCGGGGGAUCGCAAGACCUCGCGCUAAUGGAGCGGCCGAUAUCAGAUUAGGUAGUUGGUGGGGUAAAAGCCUACCAAGCCGACGAUCUGUAGCUGGUCUGAGAGGACGACCAGCCACACUGGGACUGAGACACGGCCCAGACUCCUACGGGAGGCAGCAGUGGGGAAUUUUGGACAAUGGGCGCAAGCCUGAUCCAGCCAUGCCGCGUGCGGGAAGAAGGCCUUCGGGUUGUAGACCGCUUUUGUCAGGGAAGAAAUCCUUUGAGCUAACACCUCGGGGGGAUGACGGUACCUGAAGAAUAAGCACCGGCUAACUACGUG
Molecule: ribosomal RNA, 482 nt
Filed under: uncultured bacterium
Lineage: Bacteria
Description: bacterial SSU rRNA
Rfam family: Bacterial small subunit ribosomal RNA
Source: RNAcentral